This 253-nucleotide ribosomal RNA is filed under the name uncultured bacterium. RNAcentral's name for it is "partial 16S ribosomal RNA". It matches the Rfam family "Bacterial small subunit ribosomal RNA", at positions 524 to 776 of the family's 1533-position model. The record is from RNAcentral.
UACGAAGGGGGCUAGCGUUGUUCGGAAUCACUGGGCGUAAAGGGCUCGUAGGCGGCCAACUAAGUCAGACGUGAAAUCCCUCGGCUUAACAGGGGAACUGCGUCUGAUACUGGAUGGCUUGAGUUUGGGAGAGGGAUGCGGAAUUCCAGGUGUAGCGGUGAAAUGCGUAGAUAUCUGGAGGACCACCGGUGGCGAAGGCGGCAUCCUGGACCAACACUGACGCUGAGGAGCGAAAGCCAGGGGAGCAAACGGG